CCCUUAGAUGUUCUGGGCGGCCCGCGAACUACACUGGCACUCUCAAUCAGAGCCUGGAUCUAACACUUUGGGGUAUUCUAUGAAGUGGUGUCGUGACUGGGAUUAACCCUUGCAAUUAUUGGUUACGAACGAGGAAUUCCUUGUAAUCGCGGUUUAUCAGCCCGCGUUGAAUGCGUCCCUGCCCUUUGUACACACCGCCCGUCGCUCCUACCGAUGGAUCGUCCGGUGAAGCUCAUGGAGGGGCGGUUGUCUCAGCUGCCGUCGAAGUGAAAUGGACCUCACGAUCUAGAGGAAGGAGAAGUCGUAACA
This 309-nucleotide ribosomal RNA is filed under the name uncultured eukaryote. RNAcentral's name for it is "partial 18S ribosomal RNA". It matches the Rfam family "Eukaryotic small subunit ribosomal RNA", at positions 1470 to 1796 of the family's 1831-position model. The record is from RNAcentral.